This is a non-coding RNA of Chlorocebus sabaeus (green monkey), 3311 nucleotides long. Lineage: Eukaryota; Metazoa; Chordata; Mammalia; Primates; Cercopithecidae. The record is from RefSeq and is a predicted model, not a curated record.
AUGAGGGCGGUUCUGAAGGGAAUUAGACCAAUGAGACGAGCCCGGGGCGGGGCGCGGGGCUCUAGCAGUGGCGGCGGCUGCAGAACGGGCCAGAGGGAGGAGCAGCGCUAUGGGCUGUCGUGCGGCCGGCUGGGGCAGGAUGACAUCCCUGUACUGCAUGUGAAGCUCACCGAGACGGCGAUCCGGGCGAUCAAGACUUACCAGAGCCACAAGAAUUUAAUUCUUUUCGACCUUCAAUUCAGUUCCAAGGACUCCACGGGCUUGUCAAAAUUCCCAAAAAAUGAUCUCCUCAAUGAAGUUCAUAACUUUAACUUGUAUUCGUCAAAUGUGGGCAAAGACAACCCUCAGGGCAGCUUUGAAUGCAUCCACAAACAUUCUCCAGCUCUGGAGCCUCCCAGCUCAACUGCCUGGGAUUUAUACAAGACUAAAAUUACAGUGUAUGCAACAAACGACUCGGAUCAGAUGACACGAGAAAGAAUGACCCAGGCAGAGGAGGAAUCCCGCAACCGAAGCACAAAAGUUAUCAAACUCGGUGUACCAUAUGUAGGGAAAAAAGUGCCAAUUCGGAAAGCACUUCAAGCUGUUUCAGAUACAGUUCCUGAGAGGAAACGGUCAACCCCCAUGAACCCUGCAAAUACAGUUCGAGAGACACACAGCAGCAGCAGCGUCUCUCAGAGGCCAUACAAGGACAGGGUGAUUCACUUACUGGCCCUGAAGGACUGCAAGAAACUGGAGCCACUUGCUAGACUCCAGAAAGAUGGUGUCAAUCAAAAAGACAACAACUCCCUGGGAGCAAUUCUGCAACAGGUAGCCAAUCUGAAUCCUAAAGACCUCUCAUAUACCUUAAAGGAUUAUGUUUUUAAAGAGCUUCAAAGAGACUGGCGUGGAUACAGUGAAAUAGACAGACGGUCAUUGGAGUCAGUGCUCUCUAGAAAACUAAAUCCAUCUCAGAAUGCUGCAGGCACCAGCCGUUCAGAAUCUCCUGUAUGUUCUAGUAGAGACGCUGUAUCUUCUCCUCAGAAACGGCUUUUGGAUUCAGAGUUUAUUGAUCCUUAAAUGAAUAGAAAAGCCCGAAUAUCUCACCUGAUGAACAGAGUACCACCAACACUAAAUGAUCAUUUGAAUCCUACCAGUGAAAAAUCUGCUGCAGGCCUCCCGCUGCCCCCUGCAGCUGCUGCCAUCCCCACCCCUCCACCGCUGCCUUCAACCCAUCUGCCCAUCUCACAUCCUCCUCAGAUUGUAAAUUCUAACUCCAAUUCCCCUAGCACUCCAGAAGGCCGGGGGACCCAAGACCUACCUGUUGACAGUUUGAGUCAAAACGAUAAUAUCUAUGAGGACCAGCAAGACAAAUAUACCUCUAGGACUUCUCUGGAAACCUUACCCCCUGGUCAGUUCUACUAAAGUGUCCAAAGCCUAUGGAAGAAAACCAUUCAAUGUUUCACAAAAAGUCCAAAAAGAAGUCUAAAAAACAUAAGGAAAAGGACCAAAUAAAAAAGCACAACAUUGAGACUAUUGAGGAAAAGGAGGAAGAUCUUCAGAGAAAAGAGGAAAUUGCCAAGCUAAAUAACUCCAAUCCAAAUUCCAGUGGAGGAGUUAAAAAGGAUUGCACUGCCUCCAUGGAAAGUUCAGCAACUGAACUCCUAGAUUAUUUGAUAAAAUGUAUCACUAUCAUCUCCUAUGAGCAAUGCCAGAAUUAUAAGGAUGACUUCAAUGCAGGGUAUGAUGAGUACAGAGCUUUGCAUGCCAGGAUGGAGACUGUAGCUAGAAGAUUUAUCAAACUAGAUGCACAAAGAAAGCACCUUUCUCCAGGCUCAAAAGAGUAUCAGAAUGUUCAUGAAGAAGUCUUACAAGAAUAUCAGAAGAUAAAGCAGUCUAGUCCCAAUUACCAUGAAGAAAAAUACAGAUGUGAAUAUCUUCAUAACAAGCUGACUCACAUCAAAAAGCUAAUAGGUGAAUUUGACCAACAGCAAGCAGAGAGUAAUGGCCCUAGAACUCUGCUUGGACCAGAAGAUGUGAAUAAACUUAAGCUUAUUUAUUUAAAAUUCCAAAGGAGUUGCUCUAGAUUCUAAAAAGGUGAAACUUUGGCUGUUCAAAGUUUCAGUAUUAGUAAACUUGAGUUACUUUUUCUUUUCCAUUUUACUUUGCUUCUCUGCAUUUCGAAGCUGCUCUUUCUGGUCCUCCCCACCACUCCACUCCCAAGACUUGUGCUUAUUAAUAGAAAUAUUUUUUUAGGUUUUGGGGAUCCAUUGUCCACAUUUCAAGUCAGUUUUUUUUCCUCAAAAACUUGUGUUUGUUAUUAGAAAUGAUUUUUUAGAUAUUGGGGAUCCAGUGUCCAAACUUAAAAGUUGUGUGUGUUUAAAAAACAACAGUAAUGUGCAAGGUGAAAUGCUUUUGGGUAAACAUAAGCCUAUUUUCUGACCUUUCUUAAUGCAAACUCUUUGCCUUAAAUGGUAGAAUAUUUAAAAUUUGCACAAAAUUUAAAAAAUAAACAUUAUCUUGGAGAGUUAAAAAAUAGAAAGGUUUAUGUGUAUAGAUUCACAUACACAUAUGUAUAUACAGGCUGACUUGAUCUAGAACGUUAAAUCCGCCCUGCAAGUUAACCCCCCAUUGCAAUGGUUGCCUUAAGGUGUUUGCUAGUCCUGUACGUGGUGUGGUUAAUCAUCAGCUACACUGCUUGCCACUUGAUUAGAGCAAUGGGAAGCAUAUUGUGGCCUACCAGCAUCUGGAAGUGUGUGCUCGAUCUGUAUGUGUGCAGAGGUGGUGUGGAUGUGAGCGUGCAUGAAGGAAAAAAAGCUGCUACAUCUAGUAGGCCAAACGCUCAGGUUAAACAACUGACGAGUGUUACUGUAGGGUGUUUUAGUUUUGUUUUGUUUUUUCUAUCAAAUUGCAACUUUCAUUGUGGAAAACAAAAGCAUUUCCAUUUCAACAAGUUUGUCAGCUUUAUUAAUGUUGGGCAAAAAUUGAUAUGACAUGAAAAUGAAACAGAUCUAUAGUUUUGGGACAAAAUUAUAAAAUUAAAUGUAUAGGUAACCCAUUUAUGUACUGCUAUAAAGUAUUUUUUGAAGAGAGAUAUGCAAAGAAGCUAUUACCUACAAUAAGAUGUACAUUUAAAGAUUUUUUUUUCAUCCUGGUGCCAGGAAUAUAAAAAACAGUGGAUAUAUUUAACCAUAACAUACUAUGAUUCAUCAAACAGCACAAACUUUCAUUUCAUGGAGUUUAUCUGUUGACAUUGAUUUAAACUGUCACUUGUUUUAUCAUGUGGGAACAUAAGUUAUGUGGUCAAAAAUAUAAGGAUUUUGAACUAAUGUUGA